RNAcentral lists this ribosomal RNA (483 nucleotides) under uncultured bacterium. RNAcentral's name for it is "partial 16S ribosomal RNA". It matches the Rfam family "Bacterial small subunit ribosomal RNA", at positions 28 to 523 of the family's 1533-position model. The record is from RNAcentral.
GAUGAACGCUGGCGGCGUGCCUAAUACAUGCAAGUCGAGCGAACCACUUCGGUGGUGAGCGGCGAACGGGUGAGUAACACGUAGGUGAUCUGCCCAUCAGACGGGGACAACGAUUGGAAACGAUCGCUAAUACCGGAUAGGACGAAAGUUUAAAGGUGCUUCUGGCACCGCUGAUGGGUGAGCCUGCGGCGCAUGAGCUAGUUGGUAGGGUAAAGGCCUACCAAGGCGACGAUGCGUAGCCGCCCUGAGAGGGUGAACGGCCACACUGGGACGGAGACACGGCCCAGACUCCUAGGGGAGGCAGCAGUGGGGAAUCUUCGGCAAGGGGCGAAAGCCUGACCGAGAAACGCCGCGUGAAUGAUGAAGGCCUUGGGGUUGUAAAAUUCUGUUAUAAGGGAAGAACGACUUUAGUAGAAAAUGGCUAGAGUGUGACGGUACCUUAUGAGAAAGCCACGGCUAACUACGUGCCAGCAGCCGCGGUAA